Molecule: transfer-messenger RNA, 329 nt
Filed under: Alphaproteobacteria bacterium
Lineage: Bacteria; Pseudomonadati; Pseudomonadota; Alphaproteobacteria
Rfam family: Alphaproteobacteria transfer-messenger RNA
About the family: Bacterial tmRNA, also known as 10Sa RNA or SsrA, is named for its dual tRNA and mRNA-like properties. Its role is to liberate the mRNA from a stalled ribosome. To accomplish this part of the tmRNA is used as a reading frame that ends in a translation stop signal.
Source: RNAcentral
ACCCUUCAAAAACCCCUCCGGACACCCUAGAUUAGGCCUGUCGGGGCAACCCGACUAUGGCGAUAAACGCCGUGCGGAAUAGGCGUUACGGACCCGGGGGCAGUACCCGGCGCCUCCACCAUGAACCCAGGCUGGGCCGGAAUGGCUUUACCCUGGGUUGAUGCUGGGGGCGAAUCAGGCUCGACGUGCGCAGUAAAAACACGGUUUUUGCCCGGCAUGAUACCGCCGUUAUCGGGUCAAUCUCUAAGUGCCAACGACAAUCGCGUUGCACUCGCUGCCUAAUAGGUAAGCGCGGCUCGGGGGGCGCCGGGCAACAGAAGCCCCCCACU